AGUUUAACGGCCGCGGUAUUUUGACCGUGCGAAGGUAGCGCAAUCACUUGUCUUUUAAAUGAAGACCUGUAUGAAUGGCAUAACGAGGGCUUAACUGUCUCCUCUUUCUAGUCAAUGAAAUUGAUCUUCCCGUGCAGAAGCGGGAAUAACAACAUAAGACGAGAAGACCCUAUGAAGCUUUAGAUACCAAGACAGAUCAUGUUAAACACCUCUUAAUAAAGAAUUAAACCAAAUGAACCCUGUCCUAAUGUCUUUGGUUGGGGCGACCGCGGGGAAACAAAAAACCCCCACGUGGAAUGGGAGCACCCCCUCCUACAACUAAGAGCCGCAGCUCUAGUUAACAGAACUUCUGACCAGUAAGAUCCGGCAAUGCCGAUCAACGAACCGAGUUACUCUAGGGAUAACAGCGCAAUCCUCUUUUAGAGCCCAUAUCGACAAGGGGGUUUACGACCUCGAUGUUGGAUCAGGACAUCCUAAUGGUGCAGCCGCUAU
RNAcentral lists this ribosomal RNA (492 nucleotides) under Zingel streber (Danube streber). RNAcentral describes it as "partial 16S ribosomal RNA". It matches the Rfam family "Bacterial large subunit ribosomal RNA", at positions 1921 to 2565 of the family's 2925-position model. Lineage: Eukaryota; Metazoa; Chordata; Actinopteri; Perciformes; Percidae. The record is from RNAcentral.